This 910-nucleotide ribosomal RNA is filed under the name uncultured bacterium. Its description in RNAcentral is "bacterial SSU rRNA". It matches the Rfam family "Bacterial small subunit ribosomal RNA", at positions 532 to 1443 of the family's 1533-position model. The record is from RNAcentral.
UCCCGAGCGUUNUCCGGAUUUAUUGGGCGUAAAGCGAGCGCAGGCGGUUAGAUAAGUNUGAAGUUAAAGGCUGUGGCUUAACCAUAGUACGCUUUGGAAACUGUUUAACUUGAGUGCAGAAGGGGAGAGUGGAAUUCCAUGUGUAGCGGUGAAAUGCGUAGAUAUAUGGAGGAACACCGGUGGCGAAAGCGGCUCUCUGGUCUGUAACUGACGCUGAGGCUCGAAAGCGUGGGGAGCGAACAGGAUUAGAUACCCUGGUAGUCCACGCCGUAAACGAUGAGUGCUAGGUGUUAGGCCCUUUCCGGGGCUUAGUGCCGCAGCUAACGCAUUAAGCACUCCGCCUGGGGAGUACGACCGCAAGGUUGAAACUCAAAGGAAUUGACGGGGGCCCGCACAAGCGGUGGAGCAUGUGGUUUAAUUCGAAGCAACGCGAAGAACCUUACCAGGUCUUGACAUCCCGAUGCCCGCUCUAGAGAUAGAGUUUUACUUCGGUACAUCGGUGACAGGUGGUACAUGGUUGUCGUCAGCUCGUGUCGUGAGAUGUUGGGUUAAGUCCCGCAACGAGCGCAACCCUUAUUGUUAGUUGCCAUCAUUCAGUUGGGCACUCUAGCGAGACUGCCGGUAAUAAACCGGAGGAAGGUGGGGAUGACGUCAAAUCAUCAUGCCCCUUAUGACCUGGGCUACACACGUGCUACAAUGGCUGGUACAACGAGUCGCAAGUCGGUGACGGCAAGCUAAUCUCUUAAAGCCAGUCUCAGUUCGGAUUGUAGGCUGCAACUCGCCUACAUGAAGUCGGAAUCGCUAGUAAUCGCGGAUCAGCACGCCGCGGUGAAUACGUUCCCGGGCCUUGUACACACCGCCCGUUACACCACGAGAGUUUGUAACACCCGAAGUCGGUGAGGUAACCUUU